UAUUGGUCAAUGGACGAGAGUCUGAACCAGCCAAGUAGCGUGAAGGAUGACUGGCCUAUGGGUUGUAAACUUCUUUUAUAUGGGAAUAAAGUUUUCCACGUGUGGAAUUUUGUAUGUACCAUAUGAAUAAGGAUCGGCUAGCUCCGUGCCAGCAGCCGCGGUAAUACGGAGGAUCCGAGCGUUAUCCGGAUUUAUUGGGUUUAAAGGGAGCGUAGGUGGAUUGUUAAGUCAGUUGUGAAAGUUUGCGGCUCAACCGUAAAAUUGCAGUUGAUACUGGCUGUCUUGAGUACAGUAGAGGUGAGCGGAAUUCGUGGUGUAGCGGUGAAAUGCUUAGAUAUCACGAAGAACUCCGAUUGCGAAGGCAGCUCACUGGACUGCAACUGACGUUGAGGCUCGAAAGCGUGGGGAGCAAACAGG
This 417-nucleotide ribosomal RNA is filed under the name uncultured bacterium. RNAcentral describes it as "bacterial SSU rRNA". It matches the Rfam family "Bacterial small subunit ribosomal RNA", at positions 362 to 776 of the family's 1533-position model. The record is from RNAcentral.